Molecule: ribosomal RNA, 497 nt
Filed under: uncultured bacterium
Lineage: Bacteria
Description: partial 16S ribosomal RNA
Rfam family: Bacterial small subunit ribosomal RNA
Source: RNAcentral
GAUGAACGCUGGCGGCGUGCCUAAUACAUGCAAGUCGAGCGAACAGACGAGGAGCUUGCUCCUCUGACGUUAGCGGCGGACGGGUGAGUAACACGUGGAUAACCUACCUAUAAGACUGGGAUAACUUCGGGAAACCGGAGCUAAUACCGGAUAAUAUAUUGAACCGCAUGGUUCAAUAGUGAAAGACGGUUUUGCUGUCACUUAUAGAUGGAUCCGCGCCGCGUUAGCUAGUUGGUAAGGUAACGGCUUACCAAGGCAACGAUGCGUAGCCGACCUGAGAGGGUGAUCGGCCACACUGGAACUGAGACACGGUCCAGACUCCUACGGGAGGCAGCAGUAGGGAAUCUUCCGCAAUGGGCGAAAGCCUGACGGAGCAACGCCGCGUGAGUGAUGAAGGUCUUCGGAUCGUAAAACUCUGUUAUUAGGGAAGAACAAAUGUGUAAGUAACUAUGCACGUCUUGACGGUACCUAGUCAGAAAGCCACGGCUAACUACGUG